RNAcentral lists this ribosomal RNA (467 nucleotides) under uncultured Desulfobulbus sp. Its description in RNAcentral is "bacterial SSU rRNA". It matches the Rfam family "Bacterial small subunit ribosomal RNA", at positions 920 to 1382 of the family's 1533-position model. The record is from RNAcentral. Lineage: Bacteria; Pseudomonadati; Thermodesulfobacteriota; Desulfobulbia; Desulfobulbales; Desulfobulbaceae.
CCCGGCACAAGCGGUGGAGUAUGUGGUUUAAUUCGAUGCAACGCGAAGAACCUUACCUGGUCUUGACAUCCCGGAGACCCUUAGGAAACUAGGGGUGCUUCCAUCUGGAAGAAUCUGGAGACAGGUGCUGCAUGGCUGUCGUCAGCUCGUGUCGUGAGAUGUUGGGUUAAGUCCGCAACGAGCGCAACCCUUGCCUUUAGUUGCCAGCAGUUCGGCUGGGCACUCUAAAGGGACUGCCGGUGUUAAACCGGAGGAAGGUGGGGAUGACGUCAAGUCCUCAUGGCCUUUAUGACCAGGGCUACACACGUACUACAAUGGCCGAUACAAAGGGCAGCGACACUGCGAGGUGAAGCCAAUCCCGUAAAAUCGGUCUCAGUCCGGAUUGGAGUCUGCAACUCGACUCCAUGAAGUUGGAAUCGCUAGUAAUCGUGGAUCAGAAUGUCACGGUGAAUACGUUCCCGGGCCUU